GCGUCUUCUCUAGUCGUUUUCCCCUGCUGGUGAGAAAGUUGCAGAGCAAAAAUGGCAGGACAAUUGGCGAUCGCUUUGAAAGCUCUGUUCAUCGUAUUAGGAUGUUUCAUGAUAGCUACUCUCAUUUACACAAUUUCCAUCGACGGCCUUCCUUUCCGUAAAGAGCUUCUCACUCCAUGGAUGGGAGCUACCUUAAUUGAUUUCUACAUCAACGUUGUUGCUAUAGGGGUUUGGAUUGUCUACAAGGAAUCUAACUGGAUCACUGCAAUUUUAUGGUCAAUUUUAUUAGUAUGCUUCGGAAGUAUAACCACAUGUGGUUACAUAGUAUUGCAAUUGCUCAAGCUGUCACCACAAGAAUCCGUGCAAGAUCCAAUGUACCAUGUUUUAUUGCGGAAACAGAACCAGAUUGCAGUAGAACAGAGAAAUAACACGUAUGUUGUACUAGCAAGAGUUAUCUUUGGCAUCCUUGGUUGCUUGAUGUUGGGAACCUUGAUCUACACCAUCUUGACUGAUGGUUCUCCUUUUCGAAGUGAACUUCUUACACCGUGGAUGGUGGCGACCCUCAUUGAUUUUUACAUCAAUACAGUGGCUUUAUCGGUAUGGAUAGCAUAUAAGGAAUCAAGUUGGUUGAGCGCAGUUGUUUGGAUUAUCUUACUAGUAUGUUUCGGAAGUUUUACAACAUGCGUGUACAUAGUUCGCCAGCUAUUAUACCUUUCGCCCCAUGAUCCAGUCUAUCUUGUUCUCUUGAAUAGUGGCGACAGGGACGUUACUAAGAUGUGAAUAAUUAAUCAUUGGAUUAGGUAACUGCUUGCUUCAUUAUUAGAGGACGAAAUACUAGGAAAGAAAGAAGCCAUGAGAGGGGAAUCGAGACUAGAGAGUAUAUGAAGUGUUUCUUGUUGGACCAACAGUAAUAAUGUCUUUUACACUAUAGUUUGAUUCUUGUUGUUGAAGUAUUUUGUAUAUUUUGAAAUUAUUUUAUAGGACAAAUAUUAUACAACAAUGUUUAUAUUGCAGAGAAAUUGUAUACCCUUAUUAAUAUAA
Molecule: RNA transcript, 1041 nt
Organism: Impatiens glandulifera
Lineage: Eukaryota; Viridiplantae; Streptophyta; Magnoliopsida; Ericales; Balsaminaceae
Exons: 10
Source: RefSeq, a predicted model, not a curated record